GACGAACGCUGGCGGCGUGCUUAACACAUGCAAGUCGAACGGAAAGGCCCUGCUUGCAGGGUGCUCGAGUGGCGAACGGGUGAGUAACACGUGGGUGAUCUGCCCCUUACUUUGGGAUAAGCCUGGGAAACUGGGUCUAAUACUGGAUAGGACCAUGCUGUAGGUGGUGUGGUGGAAAGAUUAGUUUCGGUAAGGGAUGAGCUCGCGGCCUAUCAGCUUGUUGGUGGGGUAAUGGCCUACCAAGGCGUCGACGGGUAGCCGGCCUGAGAGGGUGGACGGCCAAUUUGGGACGGAGAUACGGCCCAGACUCCUACGGGGGGGAGCAGUGGGGAAUAUUGCACAAUGGGGGCAAGCCUGAUGCAGCGACGCCGCGUGGGGGAUGACGGCCUUCGGGUUGUAAACUCCUUUAAACCAUGACGAAGCCCUUGUGGUGGCGGUAGUGGUAGAAGGAGCACCGGCUAACUACGU
RNAcentral lists this ribosomal RNA (468 nucleotides) under uncultured bacterium. RNAcentral describes it as "partial 16S ribosomal RNA". It matches the Rfam family "Bacterial small subunit ribosomal RNA", at positions 28 to 506 of the family's 1533-position model. The record is from RNAcentral.